AUGUCCUCUCUAGAACGGGCGGUUAGCGAGGAUGCUGGUGAUGCACGGGGCCUGCUCGAGAAUUUCCAGGUUGAGCUAGUUGCGGUUGUCCCACCGGCAGACCAUCUUGUCAUUGUAGUGCUGCUCUUUGUGAUAGGGCAUGAGCAGGACGUCGGCACGAACCUCGUCCAGACAGCGGCGGAUGGUCUUCAGGAAUCCUGUGGCUGCAGCAUAGGAGGUGGAUUCACAUACCCCCUGGGCGCCUCUCCACCGCUGCACCCCAUUUCCCUUCCUAAGGUUGUGUUUUAUUUCACAUUGAUCAAUUUGUGGGGAGCAGGCCCAUAUGUAGCAAGGAGCAAGCUGCACAAGAAAUUAAUUGGAACCAAGAUACUCAUCUUUAAUUUAAUAGUAAGGGGUUGA
RNAcentral lists this ribosomal RNA (399 nucleotides) under Triticum aestivum (bread wheat). RNAcentral's name for it is "partial small subunit ribosomal RNA". The record is from RNAcentral. Lineage: Eukaryota; Viridiplantae; Streptophyta; Magnoliopsida; Poales; Poaceae.